RNAcentral lists this long non-coding RNA (3052 nucleotides) under Homo sapiens (human). RNAcentral's name for it is "HSALNT0117957". The record is from RNAcentral. Lineage: Eukaryota; Metazoa; Chordata; Mammalia; Primates; Hominidae.
GCUGACAAAACCACAGGCCAAUCCCCGCUGGCAGGAUGGGGACAGGCUGACAAUUCCAGGUCCUAACUGCACGGUCUUGCAUUUCCUUCUCUGAAGACUCAGGUGUGGAAUGAGCGGGGCUGUGGGUGCAGCGUGGGCGAGACUCCUCUCAGCCUCCCUGGGCCUGAUCAAGGUCACCGACCCCCAGCUGUAGUCCCCAAGACUGGCUCCUGAUGGCUUUUGUGCCCCGCUCAGCAAAAGCCCAGCUGGGAUCCUCUUGGUGGCCCAGACAGAGGCAGCCUUCCGUGACUUCUGCUGUCAUCCCAGUGGCCUCUGUCUCCAGAGCAGGUGGAGCAAGGAGGCUGUCUACUUGCUCCCUGGACCCAGCGGACAUAUUCCCAGAGACAGCUGGAAAUAUCAUUGUGAUGUCGGACACUGGAGAUGGGACAGGAGCCACACAGACCCAGCUUUGCCCUCCGGAACUCACAGCAUCCCAGCGGCCGGCAGGGAGAGAGAGGGCCAGCAAACAACUCCGCGAGGGGGUCCCGCGAUAACAUGCGAGAAGUGGGUGGAGAACGCCGGGCAAGCCUGGGUAGCCGAGGAGGGACAGACAAGCAGGUGCAUGGGCCGAGACAUGGAGGGUACCUGGGGACACCAUCCUGGGGCAGGAAACGGCAGGUGCAAAGGCCCCGGGGCCGGCUGAGCUGCUGGCUCCCUCGCUCAGGGAGCAUCUGAGCAGCACCUCCCAGAAGCCAGGGCUGUGCUCGUGUGCAUGGGCCAAGCUUCAGAGAGAACUCGGGGGGCUCCCAGGUCUGAGGGGGGUGGGGGCCAGGGCUGGGCAGUGCAGAGGGUGAGGGGAUGUCCUUCCUUACAGAGAUAGAAUUCGAGGGGAAAGAAAAAGGCCCCCUGGCAUCCCUGCCCAGUGCAUGGGAUUGUGGGGGCUGGGAGGCAUCCCGUGGCUGGGCUGCAGGAGUUCCCAGCCAGACCUGGUCCCUUGGGGAAUGGGGGUCUGGGAGGCCUUUGCUGUGAGCCCACCUCGACAACCCACCCGACCAGUGAGCAGAAGCCUGAGCCGGGGUUCAGGGAUCCAUCCGUGGAGUCGCCCCUGAGGGAGGGCUUCCCACGUGGCACCCCACUGAGCCCCUCUCCCAAGCCCUCGCCCCUCCCUCCCAGGUUCUCGAAACCUCCUGCUGUCCCCCCGAGUUAGUGUCCAGGACUGCUUUAACAAAUGGCCACAGACUUGGCUGGAAACAAAAUAUAUUCAUUAUCUUACAGUUUGGGAGGCCAGAAGUCGAGAUCAAGGUGCCCACAGGGCUGGUUCCUCCCGAGGCCAGGAAGGGUCUCCUCUGUCCGCUCUGUCCCCAGCAGUGUCUGGCGGCUGCCCGCAAGACUUGGGUGGCUUAGGGAGACCUCACCCCAACUCUGCCUCUUUCUUCACACGGCCUUCUCUCUGAGCCUGUGUGCCCUCUCAACUCAAGAUCCUUAACUUAAUUACUUCUACAAAGAGCCCUUCUCCAGGCUGGGUGUGGUGGCUCAUGCUUGUAAUCUCAGCACUUUGGGAGGCUGAGGCAGGUGGAUCACUUGAGGUCAGGAGUUCAAGACCAGCCUGGCCAACACGGUGAAACCCCGGCACUACUAAAAAUACAAAAAUUAGCUGGGAAUGGUGCCGCAUGCCUGUAGUCCCAGCUACUUGGGAGGCUGAGGCGGGAGAAUUGUUUGAACCCAGGAGGCGGAGGUUGCAGUGAGCUGAGAUUGAGCCACUGCACCCCAGCCUGGGUGACAAGAGUGAGACUCCAUCUCAAAACAAAACAAAAAAACAAAAACAAAGAGCCCUUCUCCAAACAACGUCCCCUUCAUGGGUUCUGCGGGUUAGAACUUGGACACAUCAUUUUGGGGGUCCUCUAUUCAACCCACAACACCCCAAAAUACCAGGAAUCUGGGAAGUUGGGUCUUCUUUCACUGCUGAGCCAGGUCCCCUGCACUUCAUCCAGGUGGGCUCGGGAGCCAUGGCGGCCUCCCUUGGCAUGUGUAAGUUGGGGGACAGCGAGGAGGGCUGGGAAGUAUAAGUUGGGGGGCUGAGGCCUGAUGGUGCAGGCAGGCCUCUCAAGGAGAGGCCAGCACCGUGCCUGCCCACUAGGAACACGGCCUGUGGUCCCCGCCCCUGUGUGAAAAGAAUGGAGAGAAAACGCCUGGCCCCUGUGCCCCCUGCCCAGCUCUAGGGACUGCAGGCACCUGCCUGGCACAAGAAACAGGGGGUGCACACAGACACAAAGAUGGGUCCUAAGCCCCAGGCCUGCCAUAGACCCCACGUCAGGCCCAGAGGGGCGCACAUAGACACAGAGAUGGGCCCUUAGCCCCAGGCCCGCCAUAGACCUCAUGCCAGGCCCACUCACGGGCAGGAUGUUUCUCCCCCAGCCCUCAGGUCCGGGCAUGAGCUCCGGGCCAGCGGCCACCAGGCCCUGGGCCAGCGAGUCCCGGCUUCCAGCACUUGCUCCACCAGCCGGAAGGUGCUUUCCACCCCAUAAUCACCUGUGCCAAGCGCAGGCUCAGUUGAUCUUCCAAAGCGCCAUUUACACCAUGUGGAAACCAAGGCUCGGUGCUCCCCCAGCCCGGAGGUGGUAGGGUCAAGAUUUGAAGCCAGGUCUCCGAGCGUCCACCUGCUGAUGCCUUCCUCGACCUUGACAUGCGGCCAGGCGGCAGCAGAGCUGGGAACACUCCUGCAUCACCCAUGAGCCCUGCCGGGGGUCUCAGUGUCCCCGUCUGCGAAAUGGGAUAAGGGCUCUGCACACCAGCCUUGCUCCCAGGGGCCAGAGAGGGGAGGGACAGUGUCCCUAGUGACAGAUCCAGAAACUGAGGCCAGGAGGCGCUGGCCUGGACGCCCCUGCCCAGCAGAUGCGGGUUGGGGCAGGCCCAGGCCCCAGCUGGCCCACCACCUGCUGACCCGCUUCCUCCCAGGGCCUCUGCGGGGAGGCGGUGGGAACUGACCUCCUCUCUGCCUCUCAGCCCCAAGGCGGCCACCCCCUGGGAGGCCUGGUCCGGGGCUCAGGUGUCCCGCACAGCCGGUUCCUCCGCC